RNAcentral lists this ribosomal RNA (305 nucleotides) under uncultured bacterium. RNAcentral describes it as "bacterial SSU rRNA". It matches the Rfam family "Bacterial small subunit ribosomal RNA", at positions 496 to 805 of the family's 1533-position model. The record is from RNAcentral.
GCCUACGGGGCGCAGCAGCCGCGGUAAUACGUAGGGGGCGAGCGUUAUCCGGAUUCAUUGGGCGUAAAGCGCGCGUAGGCGGCCUGUUAGGUCGGGGGCCAAAUACCGGGGCUCAACCCCGGUCCGCCCCCGAUACCGGCAGGCUUGAGUCUGGUAGGGGAAGGCGGAAUUCCCAGUGUAGCGGUGGAAUGCGCAGAUAUUGGGAAGAACACCGGCGGCGAAGGCGGCCUUCUGGGCCACGACUGACGCUGAGGCGCGAAAGCUAGGGGAGCGAACAGGAUUAGAAACCCUAGUAGUCCCCAAGA